RNAcentral lists this ribosomal RNA (157 nucleotides) under Hannaella zeae. Its description in RNAcentral is "5.8S ribosomal RNA". It matches the Rfam family "5.8S ribosomal RNA". From Rfam's summary of the family: 5.8S ribosomal RNA (5.8S rRNA) is a component of the large subunit of the eukaryotic ribosome. It is transcribed by RNA polymerase I as part of the 45S precursor that also contains 18S and 28S rRNA. Lineage: Eukaryota; Fungi; Basidiomycota; Tremellomycetes; Tremellales; Bulleribasidiaceae. The record is from RNAcentral.
CAACUUUCAACAACGGAUCUCUUGGCUCUCGCAUCGAUGAAGAACGCAGCGAAAUGCGAUAAGUAAUGUGAAUUGCAGAAUUCAGUGAAUCAUCGAAUCUUUGAACGCACAUUGCGCCUUUUGGUAUUCCGAAAGGCAUGCCUGUUUGAGUGUCAUA